AUAGAUAAAAUCACUACGAGGUUGAAAUUCCGUGAAAGGACAUUAUAUAGCCUACAAGUAGGCUAUAUUGAAAUAUUUUCCAAUUCUAGUGUGUGUGUGUGUGUGUGUGUGUGUGUGUGUGUGUGUGUGUGUGUGUGUGUGUGUGUGUGUGUGUGUGUGUGUGUGUGUGUGUGUGUGUGUGUGUGUGUGUGUGUGUGUGUGUGUGUGUGUGUGUGUGUGCUGUGGUAACCCGGCCCUUGAUGUCGCCGGGUUCCACGUACAAAUCAUGCUUGGCAGUGAGGGUUUUAAGCCGAUCACGGCGUUUAUUACAAUUAAUCCUACAACAGGGGACACACACGCUCCAUAGGGUCUCCGUGAGCCUCUAUUCCGCAGUGGACCCGAGAGCUUCUCCGCUGCCUCUCCUUCGCUCCCGAUGUUUCAGUUCAAGUCGUGACCGUGUUAACUGGUGACCCUCAGCCGAAUGCUUCGCUUGUUGUCGUGGCACUGGCUACGCCAGAUGUUGGAAACGGCGGGACCCGACACGUAGCUGUCCUUGCGAAUGCCUCUUUGAUUUGUUAUAGGCCUAUGUCACGGAACAAUUGAAGACCGGAAGAAGCUCGCGGAGUAGUGUAACUGCUCUUCCGCUUAGCUUAGCUAAACUGUUUACCAUGGCGGAGGCAGAUCGAUACCUUUGGACCAAGUCUCUCCAACCUACCUAAAUUGUCCUACGACGACGUCCUAAGGAUAGUAAAUCAGCACUUACGUGUCGAAACAUCUAAACUACGCAAAGGAUAUAAGUUAUUCUGGGAGAAGUACAUUUUAAAUUACAUAGGUAAGUGUUUCAAAUCUGUUGACACUGUGUAGCUUGACUGUGACAGAUAGCACUAAGUGUAAUACAUGUCAGUUAAAACGUAUCCUUUUUAAUUAAUCGCAAAAUAUUAUUUACACUGGUAGGAAUACAUAUUUAGUUUGAGUGUCUCUGAAACUUUGCCUGACGAACCCCAAGAGGUUUGGUAUAGGUAGGUAGCCACUGCCUACCGUACAUGUAAGUGUCGAUAGUAUGUCAGAUUAGCUCCAGGCUACUGUCAGAACAUAGUGGCUGGGUGGCUGUCAUAAGCUACCAAUGCCCAUACAUUUUGCUGUAUGGUGUGUUAAUCUUUCCCUCUCUUACUGCAGUGUCAGAUUUAGUUAAUUUGGAAGUAGCAGUUCGGGCGAACUGCUACUGUUCCCAGAAGAAAAACGAUGAGCCUCACACCCUGCAGGCUACAGUGCUAGGAAGUCAGGCCUGAGUCUGAAAUCAAACUCUAUCUCGCUUUUCAUAGUCUUUUGUGAAUCAAUGGGACUGUUACUUAGGCCUACCUUUCUGACCACUUUAAUUAGAUUUACAUUUUGUGAUUCAAACAACAGGCCCACCUCGUAAUAUGUAGCAUAAUGGAUAGCCUAGACCUAGAGCAUGGUUCCAGACCUUCACAGAUCCAGUUGCAUGUUCAGUCUGUGUGUGUUUUUAUUAUUAUUGUUUCUUGUUGCUGUUCCAAAAUGCUCUCUCUUUCUCCAGAUCUGCUGUUGCAGAUGAUAAUGUUUUGUUUCAUGUCUGCUGUUGCAGAUUGUCAUGUUUUGUUUUAUAUCUGCUCUUCCAGACACAUGACUACCACUUCACAGGGGAGAAAAGCGUGCCAACACCUCUGUCGUGGACCAGUGUUCUGCAGUCGUGGACCAAGGACACAGGUUUAUGUGUAUACCUCAGGCCUAGCCAAACAUCCUGUAUAGUCUACUCAAUAAUAGUAUUCGAAGUUGUUGUAUAUAGACAGACGCGACUAACACUGACUUAAGUGUUGCUACACUGACAAUAUGAUUUAUGUGCUGACAUAUUUUUUCUUUUUGCUCCAGGGGAUUCGCCCGGAACCCACUGACCAACUUGUGGUCAGGAAACCCAAGGUUUGGGUUAGGUGUUUUAUUUUAGCACAUACAUGGACACAUACCUCCUGAAUGCCAAGUAAAUAUGGCCGAGGGACACACACCCCAUUAAAUGUAUUUAUUUCUGUUAAAUGUAUAUAUGUAAAUAUUUAUGUAUAUAUAAUUGGAAACGAACAUUCCUGAACAUUUGUUUAAGGUAACACACACUGAGCACCUUUAAAACAAGCCUGAAGGCUUUUAUGUUUGCAUUAGCUUUCUGCUACAUCUUAAAUACAUUGCACUUUCUAAAAAGCUUUUUUAAUUUAGCCUUUAUUUUCUAUUUUAAUACUAAAAUGCCUUUAACUUUCUAUUUUACUCAUUUCUCUGCAUAUUUUUUCUUUUACUUAUCUAUUUUAUUGUAUGACAAUGUUUGUAUGUGAAGCACUUUGAGUCUGCCCUUGUGUAUGAAAAGUGCUAUAUAAAUAAAGUUGCCUUGCCUAACACAC
Molecule: long non-coding RNA, 2378 nt
Organism: Gadus macrocephalus (Pacific cod)
Lineage: Eukaryota; Metazoa; Chordata; Actinopteri; Gadiformes; Gadidae
Exons: 2
Source: RefSeq, a predicted model, not a curated record